Molecule: regulatory RNA element, 273 nt
Organism: Cavia porcellus (domestic guinea pig)
Lineage: Eukaryota; Metazoa; Chordata; Mammalia; Rodentia; Caviidae
Rfam family: Mason-Pfizer monkey virus packaging signal
About the family: The packaging signal is located in the 5' UTR and is required for specific RNA encapsidation.
Source: Rfam
UGGCACCCAAUGUGGGGCUCGAGAACAAGGGAUUUUAUGAGGGACGCUGUUCGUGGGCCCAAAGGAAAAAGGAAAAUUAAAUAGAGGACCUGGCGAUGUGGGAGCCUGCCACGCCGCUGAACCUUGGUAAAUCAACAGCGAUUAUGGGACAAGAAAUUAACCAGCAUGAGAUUUUUGUUGAAAAUUUAGUAAAACUUUUAAAGGCACAAGGAGUAAAGGUGAGUAUUGAGCAAUUAUGCCAAUACUUUGAUUUUAUAAAAGAGGUUUGCCCUU